Molecule: ribosomal RNA, 465 nt
Filed under: uncultured bacterium
Lineage: Bacteria
Description: bacterial SSU rRNA
Rfam family: Bacterial small subunit ribosomal RNA
Source: RNAcentral
GGGCCCGCACAAGCAGCGGAGCAUGUGGUUUAAUUCGAAGCAACGCGAAGAACCUUACCAGGUCUUGACAUCGAUCUAAUCUCCUAGAGAUAGGAGGUCCCUUCGGGGGAGAGAAGACAGGUGGUGCAUGGUUGUCGUCAGCUCGUGUCGUGAGAUGUUGGGUUAAGUCCCGCAACGAGCGCAACCCUUAUUAUCAGUUACUAACGGGCAAUGCCGAGGACUCUGAUGAGACUGCCGGGGACAACUCGGAGGAAGGUGGGGACGACGUCAAAUCAUCAUGCCCCUUAUGACCUGGGCUACACACGUGCUACAAUGGUGUUAACAAAGAGGCGCGAACUCGUAAGGGCGAGCGGAUCUCAAAAAAGACAUCCCAGUUCGGAUUGUGGGCUGCAACCCGCCCACAUGAAGUUGGAGUUGCUAGUAAUCGCGAAUCAGCAUGUCGCGGUGAAUACGUUCCCGGGCCUU